Nerophis ophidion (straightnose pipefish) is the source of this 660-nucleotide long non-coding RNA. RefSeq lists it as uncharacterized. The record is from RefSeq and is a predicted model, not a curated record. NCBI's taxonomy places the organism in Eukaryota, Metazoa, Chordata, Actinopteri, Syngnathiformes, Syngnathidae. The transcript has 3 exons.
UUAGUGGCAGUAAUCAGACCAUGUGACACCAUGAAGAGUGUGACAAGUUUCACGCUGAGUCGCCUCCUGAAAAUCAGCGGUGCCACACAGGAAGUGGUCGAGAUCAAGCUUACGGGAAGAAACAAACGGAACUUUCAACUGGACUUCUGGCGACUUGUGAAGUUUCUACCACAAUGACAUCAUCACGUGCCAUGACAGUGAAAAUGGAUUUUCUUCAACAAACUGAUUCACACACUGAUGGAGGGAGCUGCCAUGCAAGGCGCUAACCAGCACCCAUCAGGAGCAAGGGUGAAGUGUCUUGCUCAAGGACACAACGGACGUGACGAGCUUGGUACUAGGUGGGGAUUGAACCAGGGACACUCAGGUUGCGCACGGCCACUCUUCCACUGCGCCACGCCGUCCCUAGUUGAAGAAUUACAUUUAUAAGCGUCAUGCCCUCAUUCCAACAUGCUGUUUAUGUUUACGUGCCUGUUGCUGCGGCGACGGCACCGUCACUCCCUGUGGACUUUCACCCUGGAGGCUGAGGAUCGAAGGGAGGCGCCAAGAGGGGAACCCUCUGGAGUGGGCCAAAUUCCAUUAUGAAGACUUUCACACCACACUAAAAAUAAUUUAAUUUGGAAUUACAGGAAAUUGUUUAAUAAAUUGGUUCAAAAAGUUCAA